UUCUCUAGUUUACUAUAUAUAUAUAUAUAUAUAUAUAUAUAUAUAUAUACAUAUAUAUAUAUAUAUAUAUAGAUAUAUAUUCAUGCAUGUUGCACUGUUAGAAAGAAAAUGAACCGUGAAAUAAGAAAAAUAUGUUUUAUUAUUGCACAAAGCAGCGUAUAGUUUCUAA
Molecule: long non-coding RNA, 169 nt
Organism: Sebastes umbrosus (honeycomb rockfish)
Lineage: Eukaryota; Metazoa; Chordata; Actinopteri; Perciformes; Sebastidae
Exons: 3
Source: RefSeq, a predicted model, not a curated record